GUCGAACGAACUCUGGUAUUGAUUGGUGCUUGCAUCAUGAUUUACAUUUGAGUGAGUGGCGAACUGGUGAGUAACACGUGGGAAACCUGCCCAGAAGCGGGGGAUAACACCUGGAAACAGAUGCUAAUACCGCAUAACAACUUGGACCGCAUGGUCCGAGUUUGAAAGAUGGCUUCGGCUAUCACUUUUGGAUGGUCCCGCGGCGUAUUAGCUAGAUGGUGGGGUAACGGCUCACCAUGGCAAUGAUACGUAGCCGACCUGAGAGGGUAAUCGGCCACAUUGGGACUGAGACACGGCCCAAACUCCUACGGGAGGCAGCAGUAGGGAAUCUUCCACAAUGGACGAAAGUCUGAUGGAGCAACGCCGCGUGAGUGAAGAAGGGUUUCGGCUCGUAAAACUCUGUUGUUGAAGAAGAACAUAUCUGAGAGUAACUGUUCAGGUAUUGACGGUAUUUAACCAGAAAGCCACGGCUAACUACGUGCCAGCAGCCGCGGUAAUACGUAGGUGGCAAGCGUUGUCCGGAUUUAUUGGGCGUAAAGCGAGCGCAGGCGGUUUUUUAAGUCUGAUGUGAAAGCCUUCGGCUCAACCGAAGAAGUGCAUCGGAAACUGGGAAACUUGAGUGCAGAAGAGGACAGUGGAACUCCAUGUGUAGCGGUGAAAUGCGUAGAUAUAUGGAAGAACACCAGUGGCGAAGGCGGCUGUCUGGUCUGUAACUGACGCUGAGGCUCGAAAGUAUGGGUAGCAAACAGGAUUAGAUACCCUGGUAGUCCAUACCGUAAACGAUGAAUGCUAAGUGUUGGAGGGUUUCCGCCCUUCAGUGCUGCAGCUAACGCAUUAAGCAUUCCGCCUGGGGAGUACGGCCGCAAGGCUGAAACUCAAAGGAAUUGACGGGGGCCCGCACAAGCGGUGGAGCAUGUGGUUUAAUUCGAAGCUACGCGAAGAACCUUACCAGGUCUUGACAUACUAUGCAAAUCUAAGAGAUUAGACGUUCCCUUCGGGGACAUGGAUACAGGUGGUGCAUGGUUGUCGUCAGCUCGUGUCGUGAGAUGUUGGGUUAAGUCCCGCAACGAGCGCAACCCUUAUUAUCAGUUGCCAGCAUUAAGUUGGGCACUCUGGUGAGACUGCCGGUGACAAACCGGAGGAAGGUGGGGAUGACGUCAAAUCAUCAUGCCCCUUAUGACCUGGGCUACACACGUGCUACAAUGGAUGGUACAACGAGUUGCGAACUCGCGAGAGUAAGCUAAUCUCUUAAAGCCAUUCUCAGUUCGGAUUGUAGGCUGCAACUCGCCUACAUGAAGUCGGAAUCGCUAGUAAUCGCGGAUCAGCAUGCCGCGGUGAAUACGUUCCCGGGCCUUGUACACACCGCCCGUCACACCAUGAGAGUUUGUAACACCCAAAGUCGGUGGGGUAACCUUUUAGGA
Molecule: ribosomal RNA, 1421 nt
Filed under: Lactiplantibacillus plantarum
Lineage: Bacteria; Bacillati; Bacillota; Bacilli; Lactobacillales; Lactobacillaceae
Description: bacterial SSU rRNA
Rfam family: Bacterial small subunit ribosomal RNA
Source: RNAcentral